CCAAAGGAGAAACUUCUUUUCUGUGGUGAACUGGUACAAAGUUGACUGGGAUUUUUCUUUCUUACUUUCAGGGGUAUAGUGCUGCCAGAGCUCAGAGGAGAUAUGCUCCGUCACUUAAAAAAAUAUUUUGGACCUAGUUGAAACUAUUUACCUAUUUUGAGCUGGUAAAACUAUUUUUGUAAAAUAUAUUCUGAUAAAUUCAAAAUCAAUUAUAUUUAAUUACCACUAAAACUCCAUGAAAAACGACAGAAUGACAAAACAAAUCAAUAUGUAGAACAGCCUAAGGGUUGGUCAAUGAGGUAGGUCAGUGGGGGGAAUCAAUGAGGUAGGUCAGUGGGGGAAUCAAUGAGGUAGGUCAGUGGGGUAGGUCAAUGAGGUAGGUCAUGGGUGGAAUCAAUGAGGUAGGUCAGUGGGGUAGGUCAAUGAGGUAGGUCAGUGGGGUAGGUAAAUGAGGUAGGUCAAUGAGGUAGGUCAAUGAGGUAGGUCAGUGGGGUAGGUCAAUGGGGUAGAUCGUUGAGGUAUGUCAAUGGGGUAGGAAAAUGUGGUAGAUCAAUGAGGUUUUCUUUGUCUUCUCUCUGGUGGUGAUGAGAAUGAUGAAGAACUAUAGGGUACAUGAUGAAGAACUAUAGGGUACAUGAUGAAGAACUAA
This 649-nucleotide long non-coding RNA is filed under the name Salmo salar (Atlantic salmon). RNAcentral describes it as "lncRNA (ENSSSAG00000089161.1)". The record is from RNAcentral. Lineage: Eukaryota; Metazoa; Chordata; Actinopteri; Salmoniformes; Salmonidae.